UAGCCGAAGCCGGGGACAUGGCAACUCG
Molecule: small RNA, 28 nt
Filed under: Bombyx mori (domestic silkworm)
Lineage: Eukaryota; Metazoa; Arthropoda; Insecta; Lepidoptera; Bombycidae
Description: ovarian small RNA-3051
Source: RNAcentral